UAGAGCAAGAAAAGAAAACUGAAAAAUCAUUGCCACCAGUCCAGACAAGAGAACAAGAAAAUAAAAGUACUCCUGAUGCUGAAGAUAAUGAAGAAAUAGAAGAAGAAACAGAUGAUGGCCCAUUGCUGGUUCCUCGAGUUAAAGUGGCUGAAGAUGGUUCUAUUAUUUUGGAUGAAGAAAGUUUAACUGUAGAAGUUUUAAGAACAAAAGGCCCUUGUGUUGUUGAGGAGAAUGACCCCAUAUUUGAGCGUGGCUCUACAACUACAUAUUCCAGCUUUAGGAAAAACUAUUACUCUAAACCAUGGUCAA
Molecule: long non-coding RNA, 309 nt
Organism: Talpa occidentalis (Iberian mole)
Lineage: Eukaryota; Metazoa; Chordata; Mammalia; Eulipotyphla; Talpidae
Exons: 3
Source: RefSeq, a predicted model, not a curated record